CUCGUAGGCGGCUCAGUAAGUCGGCCGUGAAAGCCCGGGGCUCAACCCCGGGACGCCGGUCGAUACUGCUGUGGCUAGGGUCCGGUAGAGGAGAGUGGAAUUCCCGGUGUAGCGGUGAAAUGCGCAGAUAUCGGGAGGAACACCAGUAGCGAAGGCGGCUCUCUGGGCCGGUACCGACGCUGAGGAGCGAAAGCUAGGGGAGCAAACA
RNAcentral lists this ribosomal RNA (208 nucleotides) under uncultured bacterium. Its description in RNAcentral is "partial 16S ribosomal RNA". It matches the Rfam family "Bacterial small subunit ribosomal RNA", at positions 568 to 774 of the family's 1533-position model. The record is from RNAcentral.